This 500-nucleotide ribosomal RNA is filed under the name uncultured bacterium. RNAcentral describes it as "partial 16S ribosomal RNA". It matches the Rfam family "Bacterial small subunit ribosomal RNA", at positions 30 to 523 of the family's 1533-position model. The record is from RNAcentral.
AUUGAACGCUGGCGGCAUGCUUUACACACGCAAGUCGAACGGUAACAGGGUGCUUGCACCGCUGACGAGUGGCGAACGGGUGAGUAAUGCGUCGGAACGUGCCGAGUAGUGGGGGAUAACGCAGCGAAAGUUGUGCUAAUACCGCAUACGUACUGAGGUAGAAAGUGGGGGACCUUCGGGCCUCACGCUAUUCGAGCGGCCGACGUCUGAUCAGCUAGUAGGUGAGGUAAAGGCUCACCUAGGCGACGAUCAGUAGCGGGUCUGAGAGGAUGAUCCGCCACACUGGGACUGAGACACGGCCCAGACUCCUACGGGAGGCAGCAGUGGGGAAUUUUGGACAAUGGGCGAAAGCCUGAUCCAGCCAUGCCGCGUGUCUGAAGAAGGCCUUCGGGUUGUAAAGGACUUUUGUCAGGGAGGAAAUCCCUAGUGCUAAUAACACUGGGGGAUGACAGUACCUGAAGAAUAAGCACCGGCUAACUACGUGCCAGCCGCCGCCGUAA